This 490-nucleotide ribosomal RNA is filed under the name uncultured bacterium. RNAcentral's name for it is "partial 16S ribosomal RNA". It matches the Rfam family "Bacterial small subunit ribosomal RNA", at positions 30 to 507 of the family's 1533-position model. The record is from RNAcentral.
AUUGAACGCUGGCGGCAGGCCUAACACAUGCAAGUCGAACGGUAACAGGAAACAGCUUGCUGUUUCGCUGACGAGUGGCGGACGGGUGAGUAAUGUCUGGGAAACUGCCUGAUGGAGGGGGAUAACUACUGGAAACGGUAGCUAAUACCGCAUAACGUCGCAAGACCAAAGAGGGGGACCUUCGGGCCUCUUGCCAUCGGAUGUGCCCAGAUGGGAUUAGCUAGUAGGUGGGGUAACGGCUCACCUAGGCGACGGUCCCUAGCUGGUCUGAGAGGAUGACCAGCCACACUGGAACUGAGACACGGUCCAGACUCCUACGGGAGGCAGCAGUGGGGAAUAUUGCACAAUGGGCGCAAGCCUGAUGCAGCCAUGCCGCGUGUAUGAAGAAGGCCUUCGGGUUGUAAAGUACUUUCAGCGGGGAGGAAGGGAGUAAAGUUAAUACCUUUGCCCAUUGACGUUACCCGCAGAAGAAGCACCGGCUAACUCCGUG